CACCUCUGAAGAAGGGAAAGAUACACAGGCUUGUUGGUUCGCUCGGCAGUAGCAGUCCAUGAAAGGGCUGAAGCAGCUGACCUUCCUCCUUCGGCACACCUACAAGCCAGGGUAGAUUCUUGAUGUCCAGUGCUGUCCCUUUUUUGACUUCACAUGCCACAGAAAGGCAACACCUUUGAAACAUCUCAAAGUUUUGCAGACCUGGACUUUUCCAUGCCAUAAGACUGUUUAAAUCUGUGGACUUAUGCCUAAUUGCUAUGUAAGAAGGGAGGUAUUCCUGGUAAUUCUAUUCAAGCUCAUUGUUUUUGACAAGACAUUUUGGUACAAGAUGGGCAGAAUGGCCAACCAACAACUUAUUAACUGAUGAGGGCAUAGAUGAUUGUAAGUUCUAGGAAUAAAGUUGUCUUUUUUACCAAA
Molecule: long non-coding RNA, 417 nt
Organism: Alosa alosa (allis shad)
Lineage: Eukaryota; Metazoa; Chordata; Actinopteri; Clupeiformes; Clupeidae
Exons: 2
Source: RefSeq, a predicted model, not a curated record